AGGUUUUGGUGGCUCUAAAAAGUACCACUGGUUUAUCCCAUGUUUUGGUCGCCACCGAUAUGGGUGACUACGGUUCCGCUUCGCUUGUCCGUUAUCGGCACAUGCAACAUCUCGACGGAAACUUCUUCAAACUUAUCCAUGAUCAUAUAGUUGAAAAAUCCCAAGGGAUGACUUACAACCCUGCGUCUCACGUACAAGAUCGCGGCGUGAUAGCACUGGUUGAUCUGACUUUGAUCUCUCGCGCGCAGUAUCUUAUAAGCGCCGGGAAGGGCACAUUUCAAGAGUGGAUUGGAGCGAAGUUCUUAGAGAAUCAUCGUAAUGAUGCACAGUUAUGGUCAAAAAUUACUGUGUGUACAUAACGGGUGGAUAUGGCAAAUACACUGACAGGGCCGUAGCUAGAACGAUAAUGGGCCUUUCGCCUUUUGACUAAAAUUUAGAUCUCAACAAGUCUAGACAAAAUUUCAUCACAGCUUGAAAGAGCAUCACAAAAUUAGUAAUAUUCCGAAGUUUCGUUGCGAAAUGUUGUAAAAUGCAGACAAUAUGGCCCUG
Molecule: non-coding RNA, 549 nt
Organism: Paramuricea clavata
Lineage: Eukaryota; Metazoa; Cnidaria; Anthozoa; Malacalcyonacea; Plexauridae
Source: the annotation of a GenBank genome assembly